UACGUAGGGCGCAAGCGUUGUCCGGAAUUACUGGGCGUAAAGCGUGCGCAGGCGGUUUUGUAAGCCAGAUGUGAAAUCCCCGGGCUUAACCUGGGAAUGGCAUUUGGGACUGCAAGGCUCGAGUGCGGCAGAGGAGACUGGAAUUCCGGGUGUAGCGGUGGAAUGCGUAGAGAUCCGGAAGAACACCGGUGGCGAAGGCGGUUAGCUGGGCAGUUGCUGACACUGAGGCGCGACAGCGUGGGGAGCAAACAGG
Molecule: ribosomal RNA, 253 nt
Filed under: uncultured bacterium
Lineage: Bacteria
Description: partial 16S ribosomal RNA
Rfam family: Bacterial small subunit ribosomal RNA
Source: RNAcentral